CAAAAGCCAUUUGUCAGAAUGAGAUGUUCCAGCCUCUCCUUCCCUCGCAGGCCAGUUGCCGCGCUGUGAAUUCCUGUUGCAUCAGCAGCGAGGCUAAUUAGCUCCACGGCUCCUGAAUAAUAAUGGCCGCAUUCACAGAGAGGCGUCUGCGUGCAGGAGCCAUGCGCACAUGCAAACCUUGAAGCUGCGCAAGAUGCACAGCAGGGCCUGGUGGUGCCUCACAGAGUCCACCCCUUGGGCCACUUCCAGGAGAGGCCCCUCUUGGAGGGAAGUUGAAGAGGAAGGCUGGUACGUGAACUCCAGCCCCCACGGCUGAAGCUUUUGUGGUCUCAGGGCUGCAGCAGACACUCCUCAGCUCCCGCCUCUACUGCCCACCAUGGACGCCCCUCAUUCUCAGGUGACAUCUCUAUGGGGACUGAGACCCUGCACACCAUGCCCUUUUCAGGCCAUAGCGGCAGGAAAGACAAAUCUAUAUCUGGAACAUGUCUCUCUUCCUGGUUUUCCCGGGGUGGAGGGGUCCACCGUAGUCAUCUGCCACAUACUGAGCCAAACUAAUCUCAGGUUUUAUCUUCCGCCUCAGCCAGCGGCACAGGAUCCCCCAGCAUGGCCAUUUAUAUGAGCUGAAGGUGCUGGUGCAUCAGUGGUAGGCGGCGAGGGGUCUGGGCUACCUGCUGGUGCAGCUUGCUGGUUAACUCGAGUCCUGCUCACGCUCAGUCCAGGAUGUAUCCACUUUCUGACUUGGUGGGUCUGACAGAUCCAGCUCAUGAUGGGCAGUUCUGGGUGCAUGACCCCUCGGUGUCUCAUGGCAGGGUGCUCUGUCUCUACCAGUGCCGGGAGCACACCACAGCCUGUGUGUAUAAUAAAAGGUGUAUAAUUCUUUGCUGCAAAUUAUAUGCACUUGUUCCCAA
Equus caballus (horse) is the source of this 908-nucleotide long non-coding RNA. The record is from Ensembl. Lineage: Eukaryota; Metazoa; Chordata; Mammalia; Perissodactyla; Equidae.